ACUUGUAGCCAAUCAGGUACAUGCACAUAAAAUGCACCUUUAAGGUGCAGGUCAGUACCUGGAUGGGAGACCUCCUGGGAAAACUAGGUUGCUGCUGGAA
Molecule: ribosomal RNA, 100 nt
Filed under: Sinocyclocheilus rhinocerous
Lineage: Eukaryota; Metazoa; Chordata; Actinopteri; Cypriniformes; Cyprinidae
Source: RNAcentral